Molecule: unclassified non-coding RNA, 296 nt
Filed under: Hevea brasiliensis (rubber tree)
Lineage: Eukaryota; Viridiplantae; Streptophyta; Magnoliopsida; Malpighiales; Euphorbiaceae
Source: RNAcentral
GUCUAUUUUCCUUUUUCUUUGUUUUCUCCCACUGAAGGAAGCAAUAAAAGUGAUGGAACUUGUAGAUUGUGCUAUCGCUUUUGUGCUUUGGGUUCAAAGUUCAUUGGUUCUUUACUUGAUAGAUAAUCCCAUUUGGCGAUUUGAAUUUCUAUCUAAUAUCUAGCUGCUAAUAAUAAUAGAUAGAUCUGUAGUUGCUAAUUUCCUUCCUCUAUAUAUUAAUGUAUGUUCAUUUAUUUGUUUUGAUGCAUCUAAUUGACAUUCUCCGGUUCAUUUUUAUUUAUUUAAUUUUAGCUCCU